Molecule: ribosomal RNA, 468 nt
Filed under: uncultured bacterium
Lineage: Bacteria
Description: partial 16S ribosomal RNA
Rfam family: Bacterial small subunit ribosomal RNA
Source: RNAcentral
GACGAACGCUGGCGGCGUGCUUAACACAUGCAAGUCGAACGGAAAGGCCCUGCUUUUGUGGGGUGCUCGAGUGGCGAACGGGUGAGUAACACGUGAGUAACCUGCCCUUGACUUUGGGAUAACUUCAGGAAACUGGGGCUAAUACCGGAUAGGAGCUCCUGCUGCAUGGUGGGGGUUGGAAAGUUUCGGCGGUUGGGGAUGGACUCGCGGCUUAUCAGCUUGUUGGGGGGGUAGUGGCUUACCAAGGCUUUGACGGGUAGCCGGCCUGAGAGGGUGACCGGCCACAUUGGGACUGAGAUACGGCCCAGACUCCUACGGGAGGCAGCAGUGGGGAAUAUUGCACAAUGGGGGGAAGCCUGAUGCAGCAACGCCGCGUGCGGGAUGACGGCCUUCGGGUUGUAAACCGCUUUCGCCUGUGACGAAGCGUGAGUGACGGUAAUGGGUAAAGAAGCACCGGCUAACUACGUG